RNAcentral lists this transfer RNA (68 nucleotides) under Heterotermes validus. Its description in RNAcentral is "tRNA-Arg". Lineage: Eukaryota; Metazoa; Arthropoda; Insecta; Blattodea; Rhinotermitidae. The record is from RNAcentral.
AAGUGAGAAGCAACAACUUGCAGUCAGUUUCGACCUGACCCUAGAUAGUCUAAACCUAUCCUCACUAU